Molecule: long non-coding RNA, 197 nt
Organism: Cyprinodon tularosa
Lineage: Eukaryota; Metazoa; Chordata; Actinopteri; Cyprinodontiformes; Cyprinodontidae
Exons: 4
Source: RefSeq, a predicted model, not a curated record
GCCGUGAGGUCUAUCCAGGAGAGGACGCAACGGGGAGAAAUCUGGUGGUGGCAAAAACGAUUGAACUCAUUCAAGAGUAUCAUUCUGCUGCUGAGCUGCACAAAUUGCUAAACACCAAAUAGGCAAUGUUUUACAUUGUUGAAUUUGAAGAGACCCAAGAAGUCGAGGUGGUGCCAGCAGCUUGGGUGGCUGAUGAC